Molecule: ribosomal RNA, 475 nt
Filed under: uncultured bacterium
Lineage: Bacteria
Description: bacterial SSU rRNA
Rfam family: Bacterial small subunit ribosomal RNA
Source: RNAcentral
AGUGAACGCUGGCGGCAGGCCUAAUACAUGCAAGUCGAACGGCAGCACAGCAGAGCUUGCUCUGUGGGUGGCGAGUGGCGGACGGGUGAGGAAUACAUGGGAAUCUGCCCAGUCGUGGGGGAUAACGUAUGGAAACGUACGCUAAUACCGCAUGCGCCCUACGGGGGAAAGUCGGGGACCGCAAGGCCUGACGCGAUUGGAUGAGCCCAUGUUCGAUUAGCUAGUUGGCGGGGUAACGGCCCACCAAGGCGACGAUCCGUAGCUGGUCUGAGAGGAUGAUCAGCCACACUGGAACUGAGACACGGUCCAGACUCCUACGGGAGGCAGCAGUAGGGAAUAUUGGACAAUGGGCGCAAGCCUGAUCCAGCCAUGCCGCGUGAGUGAAGAAGGCCCUCGGGUUGUAAAGCUCUUUUGUCCGGAAAGAAAAGCACUGGGUUAAUACCCCGGUGUCCUGACGGUACCGGAAGAAUAAGCA